CUAGUAGUGAUCCUGGCUCAGAACGAACGCUGGCGGCAUGCCCAUGAUUGUUAUGAUAGUCCGAAGGCUUGCCUUCCAGUGAUAGUAUGAGUAACACGUGGGAACCAGUAGUUGCCUUUCCCAGUGAUAGCGUUUGGAAAACGCUAACACCCAGUAGUAAAUUCGGGGGAAACCAUGACCAUGAUAGAAGGCCCGCGUCGGAUUAGGUAGCCAGUGACACGAUUAGUACUCACCAAGCCUGCGAUCCGUCCAGUAGUAGACAAGGAUGAUCAGCCACACUCUGAGACACGGCCCCCAGUGACUAGCACGGGAGGCAGCAGUGCCAGUGAAUUACAGUGAUAUGGGCGCAACAGCAAUGCCGCCCAUGACCAGUGAUAGUAGAGGCCUUAGGGUUGUAAAGCUCCCAGUGAUAUAGAUGACAGCGUGAGAAGAAGCCCCGGCUAACUUCGUGCCAGCAGCCGCGGUAACUAGGAAUUAGUAAGCGUUGUUCGGAACAGUAGGCAGUAGGUAAAGGGCGCGUAGGCGGCCUGUUUAGUCAGAAGUGAAAGCCCCGGGCUCAAGGCAGUAGGCUUUUGAUACAGUAGUAGUAGAGUUCCGGAGAGGAUGGUGGAAUUCCGUGAUAGUGUGAAAUUCGUAGAUAUUGCUAGGCAGUAGUAGGACGAAGGCGGCCAUCUGCCAUGGUACUACGGUCAGUAAAUGGAAGCCAGUGACCAGUGAUGAUAGUACGUGGGGAGCAAACAGGAUUAGAUACCCAGUAGUACCAGUAGCGGGGUGCAUGCACUCCAGUAGUAGUAAGCAUUCCGCCCCAGUCCAGUGAUAGUGAAACCGUCGACUAGUAGUAACUCAAAGGAAUUGACGGCCAGUGAUAUAACCCAGUAGCACAAGCGGUGGCCAGUAGUAGUAAACGCGCACCUUACCAACCCUUGACAUGUCCAUUAUGGGCUCGAGCCAGUUAGGAUCAGUAGUCCUUCAGUUCGGCUACAGGUGCUGCAUGGCCCAUUACCAGUACGUGUCGUGAGACCAGUAGUAGUACCCGCAACGAGCACAACCCCUACCGUCACCAGUAGCAGUAGUAGUUGGGCACUCCAGUGACGAUGGACUAACAAGCCGGAGGAAGGCGGGGAUGACAUAAACUGAUGAUAAACCUCGUGGCGUGGCGGUGACAGUGGACACGCCAGUAGUAUAACUAUGACGCGAAGUCGCGAGAUCACUUAGUAGCAGGGAGCAAAUCCCCAAGAUAGGCUACAAUCGCACUCUGCAUGCGUGAAGUUCCAGUGAUAGUGACGCGGAUCAGCCCGAUGACGCCGCGGUGAAUACGUCCGUGGCUGAUACACCGCCCAGUGAUAGUGAGUUGGCUUUACCCCAGUGAUAGCGCUAACCCAGCCUUAGGUACGUUACAGCCCCAUUUAGCAGUAGUGAUACGACUCCAGUAGUAGGUAGCC
RNAcentral lists this ribosomal RNA (1442 nucleotides) under Azospirillum humicireducens. Its description in RNAcentral is "partial 16S ribosomal RNA". It matches the Rfam family "Bacterial small subunit ribosomal RNA". Lineage: Bacteria; Pseudomonadati; Pseudomonadota; Alphaproteobacteria; Rhodospirillales; Azospirillaceae. The record is from RNAcentral.